UAAACAUGAAUCUUCAAAUACAUCCUUAAAUUUUGGUCAUGUUGAUUUAUUACUAGAUGCUCUUGAUAUGUGAUGAUCAUCAGUUAGAAUCAAAGCCUGUGCUGGUCACAUUGACAGAAUUCUUAUGUUUCUCUCUGAAACACAGUCUAUUUACAUGUAUUACACUUUGGUGCAAAAUGCUGACCACUAUUUAUUUCAACUGAUGGCAUCUAAGCUUGGGUAAGACGCUGCAGUUUCUUUUUUCAUGAACUCUGAAGCAGACCUCCUCAACUCUGAACAGAUCUUGCAAUGUCUCUUUCAGUGUCAAAUGUAUGCAGUAAAGACCUAAGUCUUUAUCUUGAGUUUAAUGUGUUGACUUAUAUAUAGUUAAUGUGUAUGAUUACCUAAAAUAAUCACUUUCCUCCUUGAUGCUCACAGCACCUCUGGGUGAGAUGAUGCCCCUGAGCUGCGGGCUCUCCUUCAUGCUUCCCUGGCAUUACCCUCGGCACUGCCUGUAACUUCUGCUUGGACAAGAAAAUCCGCAAAACCCGGCUUAUGUAAUUUCACAUGGAUGAGUUCAGCAACGCAGAGCAACCCCUGAGGACAUCCAUGGUGUCAUUCCACACGGGAAGAGGAAGCUGGAAAGACUACAGUGGUUUUGGCUACCAGCAUGGAUAUUUAUUUCAAAAAAUUUUGCGAGGAGGAUAAAUAAAAAGUUAAAUGCGUAAAGGUAAGGAAUGAGAUAAUUAUGGAGGAACCAACUGCAUACAAAGGUAAUAUAAGGCCUUGGGGGGGCCAUCUGUCACCUACCCCCACCCUGUCCAGUGCUUUGGCAUAUUUUUUUUACGACUCUGAUAGAUACCACUGGACAGUCAACUGUGAAUGAAUGCAAUCCAGUUGGUAAAUUGCUUAUUUAGGUUACAAAAUUUUCCCUGUAAUUUUUGUGUCUCCUCAUUUCGUAGUAUGACAGCUAGUGUUUUAGGGAGGUACCUUGGAAUCCAUCCUUUUUUUUCACCCAGUUUAUAACCCAGGAGCAAACCUGUCCCCCAGUUUUGUAAUCUAGAUCUUGCAAAACCGGAAGAUUCACUAAGCAGCCCCGGCUGUGUGCGGCACGGUGAGCGUAGGAUGGUACAUACAGUGAGCCCCACACAUGGAAGGCUUCCAGCAGGCCCAUCUAGGGUUCAAGUCAAAUACAGGAGGAGGAGACCUCCGAACAGCUGCGAGAUGCACCCAGCUAGGACCAGCCAUCCUUCGCGUACAUUAUCAGGUAGAAUGUGUUGAUGAACUUCUUUUGUAUGACUGUUUUUUUAAAGGAAUUUUAAGUUUACAGCGAAAUAGAGGGGAAGACACAGAGAUUUCCUGUGGACUCUGCUCCUACCGUGUGCAUAGGGUCCCCUGUUAUCAACACUCACUAGCAUGGUACUUUUUUUUUCCUUUUCUUACCCAAAGAUAAACCUAUAUAGACAUAUCAUUUUCACCCAAAGUCUCUAGUUUACCUUAGGGUUCUCUCUUGCUGUUGUACAUCCUAUGGGUUUGGACCAAUGUAUAAUAAUACAUAUCCAUCAUGAGACUGUCAUACAGAGUAUAUUCACUGCCUUAAAAUCCUCUGUGCUUUGUCUCUUCAUCUCUCUCUGUCCAUCACCCCUGGCGACCAACCGCUGGCCUUCUACUGUUUCUACCAUAGUUUUGUCUUUUCCAAAAUGUCACACAGUUGGAAUCCUACAAUCUAUAGACUUUUCAGAUCGGCUUCCUUCACACAGUAAUAUGCAUUUAUGCUUCCUCCGUGUCUUGUCGUGGCUUGAUUGCUCUCCCUUUUUGGCCCUGAAUAGUAUUUCAUGG
Lutra lutra (Eurasian river otter) is the source of this 1818-nucleotide long non-coding RNA. RefSeq lists it as uncharacterized. The record is from RefSeq and is a predicted model, not a curated record. The transcript has 3 exons. Lineage: Eukaryota; Metazoa; Chordata; Mammalia; Carnivora; Mustelidae.